RNAcentral lists this transfer RNA (69 nucleotides) under Cordylochernes scorpioides. RNAcentral's name for it is "tRNA-Val". The record is from RNAcentral. Lineage: Eukaryota; Metazoa; Arthropoda; Arachnida; Pseudoscorpiones; Chernetidae.
UGCAUCGGCCGGGAAUCGAACCCGGGCAGCACGCGUAGGGCGAGCAUUCUACCACUGAACCACCGAUGG